CCCAAAACCUAUAUCUCUUCACACUAGAGAAACAAAUUCUCUACAACCUCCUAUAUUUCUCCCGGCUGCGGCCUACCAGAGAAGACGGUGGUUGUCGACCGAUAGCGGCGACGCCACCUUCUUCUCUGGCAAACCAACCUCCAAAAUUCAAAACGAACAAUGCCAACCCCCCUUCUUUUUGGCCAACGAAUCCAAAUCCAAAUUCACUUUUCGCUCAAACCCUCUCAAACACCCAGAUCGGACUCCGAUGAGAUGGAAAAAAUUAAAUCUUACCACGAACGAGCCCCAACACAAACCAACAAAACUAAAAUUUCCUCAAACAAACAAAACGAACACACAAAAAACAGUUAGAAACACACAUUCAAAGGCAAACCCUAAAUUUGUAAUUAAUCUAAAAUAGCAGCAAUUCGGCAUAAUUAAAUUGGGGUUUCUAGUCCAUUCAUCAAGGCGAGCAAGAUGGUGCGAAGAUUUUAAGGAAAGAAGGAAAAAGGAGUAUACUUGAUUGGAGUCAAGACGCUGGCGACGUCUCCUCCGAUGCGUUUGAGAUGAGUCUCUCUUUUUAAUUUCAAUUUCUCUCCUUCUUCUCCUUCUCUCUAUUUUUUGAAUGCUGUUGAUUGCUGUCUUUAGGGUCUGAGCUCGUCUAGGUCAGAGUUUCAGUGUGAAACUCUAACUUAGACUUUAGGAAUUUUGAGCUUUAAGUGAAUGGUUCUUUGAUGAAUUUUGGCAGAAUAACGGUAUCCCUCAGUUUGGCGUAAUAGCUUUGUAUUUAUAGGGCGAGGAUGAAGGAUAAGCAUGUCAUAUUCCCUUAAUGAUGAGCUAGUAAUAUUAGGAUAAAUCCGUUAGGAAAUCUUUUGUGCAUCCCAGAUUUCGUGGGAUCCAAAUGGUCACGACGGCAUGUGUACAUAAGUGGAUGAAUGGCUUAAUGUAGGGGUCUUGAGGAAGGAGUUUUGAUGAGGCGUAAACAAAAAAUUAAGAAUAUUAGGGGCAGGUUUAUAUUGUAAGGAAUAAAACACCUCAACUGUACCAUAACGUCAUCCGUGCGUCAAAUGGUAGUUUGAAUGUAAAUUUAAUUAGUUUUUUUCUAAACAAUGCUUAAUGUAACCUUGAAAGGUGAAUUUGAAGCCCAAUGUUUCUUUCCUUAAA
Molecule: long non-coding RNA, 1143 nt
Organism: Lathyrus oleraceus (garden pea)
Lineage: Eukaryota; Viridiplantae; Streptophyta; Magnoliopsida; Fabales; Fabaceae
Exons: 2
Source: RefSeq, a predicted model, not a curated record